GAUGAAGAACGCAGUGAAAUGCGAUACUUGGUGUGAAUUGCAGAAUCCCGUGAACCAUCGAGUCUUUGAACGCAAGUUGCGCCCGAAGCCACUAGGCCGAGGGCACGCCUGCCUGGGCGUCACACGCCGUUGCCCCCCCAUCUACUCCUUCGGGAUUGCGGGGGGGCGGAUGAUGGCCUCCCGUGCGCCUAGCCGCGCGGUUGGCAUAAAUACCAAGUCCUCGGCGACGCACGCCACGACAAUCGGUGGUUGCGAAACCUCGGUUGCCCGUCGUGUGCGUUCGUCGCGCAUCGAGGGCUCGAAAAAAUGCUCGGCUCCGGCUGGGCUUUCAACGCGACCCCAGGUCAGGCGGGGUUACCUGCUGAAUUUAAGCAUAUCAAUAAGCGGAGGA
RNAcentral lists this unclassified non-coding RNA (391 nucleotides) under soil metagenome. RNAcentral describes it as "partial contains 5.8S ribosomal RNA, internal transcribed spacer 2, and large subunit ribosomal RNA". The stretch from base 1 to 122 matches the Rfam family "5.8S ribosomal RNA", at positions 35 to 154 of the family's 154-position model. The record is from RNAcentral.